Molecule: ribosomal RNA, 497 nt
Filed under: uncultured bacterium
Lineage: Bacteria
Description: partial 16S ribosomal RNA
Rfam family: Bacterial small subunit ribosomal RNA
Source: RNAcentral
GAUGAACGCUGGCGGCGUGCCUAAUACAUGCAAGUCGAGCGAACGGACGAGAAGCUUGCUUCUCUGAUGUUAGCGGCGGACGGGUGAGUAACACGUGGAUAACCUACCUAUAAGACUGGGAUAACUUCGGGAAACCGGAGCUAAUACCGGAUAAUAUUUUGAACCGCAUGGUUCAAAAGUGAAAGACGGUCCUGCUGUCACUUAUAGAUGGAUCCGCGCUGCAUUAGCUAGUUGGUAAGGUAACGGCUUACCAAGGCAACGAUGCAUAGCCGACCUGAGAGGGUGAUCGGCCACACUGGAACUGAGACACGGUCCAGACUCCUACGGGAGGCAGCAGUAGGGAAUCUUCCGCAAUGGGCGAAAGCCUGACGGAGCAACGCCGCGUGAGUGAUGAAGGUCUUCGGAUCGUAAAACUCUGUUAUUAGGGAAGAACAUAUGUGUAAGUACCUGUGCACAUCUUGACGGUACCUAAUCAGAAAGCCACGGCUAACUACGUG